CAGCCGUAAACUAUGCUCGCUAGGUGUCAGGGACGGUGCGACCGUUUCUGGUGCCGCAGGGAAGCCGUGAAGCGAGCCACCUGGGAAGUACGGUCGCAAGGCUGAAACUUAAAGGAAUUGGCGGGGGAGCACUACAACGGGUGGAGCCUGCGGUUUAAUUGGACUCAACGCCGGAAACUCACCGGGGGCGGACAGCAAUAUGUAGGUCAAGCUGAAGACUUUGCCGGAUUAGCUGAGAGGAGGUGCAUGGCGUAGUCGUGU
Molecule: ribosomal RNA, 261 nt
Filed under: uncultured archaeon
Lineage: Archaea
Description: partial 16S ribosomal RNA
Rfam family: Archaeal small subunit ribosomal RNA
Source: RNAcentral